UUCUCUUCUCUUUUCUCCUCUUUCUCCCUAUCCAAAACCGGGUGCAGAGUGUAUUCGCUUGCUGAUCGUCCACUGAGAUGCGAUUUUUAGUGAUUCGCGGAUCAAGUGAUGACUACGAACAAGAACACAAACACAGAAUUGUCUCAGGGAGAAAGAGGAGAAAAGAGAAGAGAANNNNNNCGCCGCAGGGACAGUCUGAAAAUGUUGGUUCCCGGGCUGGGAAUACGGUUUUCAAGAGUGGGCC
Molecule: unclassified non-coding RNA, 244 nt
Filed under: Hevea brasiliensis (rubber tree)
Lineage: Eukaryota; Viridiplantae; Streptophyta; Magnoliopsida; Malpighiales; Euphorbiaceae
Source: RNAcentral